Molecule: long non-coding RNA, 3877 nt
Organism: Centrocercus urophasianus (Greater sage-grouse)
Lineage: Eukaryota; Metazoa; Chordata; Aves; Galliformes; Phasianidae
Exons: 2
Source: RefSeq, a predicted model, not a curated record
UGCGCCGCUCCUCGCUGCGGUCCGUUGGAGCGGCGCCCGGCAGGAUGUGAGCGCGGUGCUGUGCCGUCAGCCUGCCGUCGCGGUGGUCGCUAUGCUAUGUGGAAAUAGUCUUUCAGCCGUGGUUCUCUAAUGCAGCUGCUGCAAGAGGUCGAUAUUUUUAUAAUGGCGUGUAAUCUCCUGUUGAGGAGCUUUUUAUGGAAGGUAUAAUUUGUAAAAGUUAGGGUGUUUGCCUCUCGACUGCAUUGACAUGCCACAGGCUCAGACUGUUUUUGUGUAAAAGAUGUCACAGAACGGCACUUUUUCUAAAGAGAAGUUUGAUAUUUUGUAUGCUUGUUAAGAAAGUACAGUAUUGGAAAUUAAAGGUGGACAACUGAUAAUUGAGAAGUAUGUCAAUUAAUUUUUUAUGUAUAUUACCUGUUUACUUGUACAAUUUUAUUGUACAAAUUACAUGCAGCUUCAUUUUCAAAUGAGUCCUUAAAGUAAGGAAAAUCUUUUUAGGAAAACAUUUAAUUUUUGUAUUUUUGAUUUUAAAAGGCAUGAGUUAUGUCAACUUUUUCCAGUGUAUUAAUGAAGAUUUUAACUUUUCAUCAGGUUGAGUGUUUUCUUACUAUAUUAUCUGUUGUGUAUGUAGCUAGCACAUUGUGUCACUGAACUGUUUAAAGAGAUUAGCAUGUAGAGCAAGCCUGUUUUGUGGAAAAUCCUUAUUCAUUAAAAAAAAAUCAUCAUGGCAGAUUUUCUGCAAAAAAGUGGAAACAUUUGCAAUUCAGAAUACUGAUUUUUUUUUUUUUUUUGUAUUUAAAGAAAAGUAUUUUGCUUGCAGGAAAGAAAUACUACAGAUUCAUUUUAAUGAGAAUCUUUUAAAUGUAUUUAUCUUUAGGGCAUCUGGGCAUCUUUACACUGUUUGUCUUAUGUCUUUAUUGAAAUAAAAUGUACAUAACAUUACCUUUAUAUAUGCUUUUGCGCAGCCGUGUGAGCCUGUAACCAUCCGCGCUCCUCCUGUUUUUAUGUUGAUGAGAUGGUUCUGGAAAUAUUUACAGAGUUUGAAAAUGGUCGGCUUGUAUUUGAAUUGCUACAUGGUUUGCCAACUAUUUUUUAGCUGCUCGUUAAGAUGUAAAUCUAAAGCUGAGAUUUUAAUUGGUUUUAACGGCGAAUCCCUGUUGAACGUGGAAUUCUUCCAGAUUUCUUGGAGUAAUUUACACCGUAGGACUGCUUUACACAUCGCCAGGCUUCCAGAAGGAACCCGUCUUUGCUCAGUAGCUCAUAGCUGUUCUCUGACUGUCAGCAGGGACGACCGUCUGUCCGACGCCGUCCUGACACGCGCGUCCCGUCUCCAAAACAUUCUAAAAGUGCUUUCUUUAGUUAAGGAAACCAAAGCAUACAUUGCACUUUACAGCUGUAUCUGUGUUGUGAUUAUCAGAUCAGUGAGGGAAAUGGAAAUGUAAAUUGGAGGAUUUAGUUCUACACAGAUGCACAAUGAAAGUUACAGAGGCUGCUUAGUAAACAGAUUAAAUAUUAAUACUUUAAUGUGCUGCAAGUCUGAUAUUUAUCAUUCUGAACUUUCUUUGCAGAAUGAGUCUGCCUUCCUCAAAAUGCGAGUUCCUAACAAUGUCAAAGACUUCUGGCAUAACAACAAGUCUUUGCACGAAGCAAAGUUCUGUUCCUUCGGCUUUGAUUUCCAUCAGCCUCCAGGCUGAGGCCUCGCUGUUUGACUUCAGUCUGGAUCAAAUUGUGCAGACCAAAAUUGGCGCUGUCUCAGCUACGGCUGUUACUUGAGGUUGAAUGUAGAACUGUGCUGCUUGAGCAGUUCAUCGUGUAGCUGUAUCAUUUAUUCCCGUUUUAUGUAUGUUUAGGAAGCACACCAUCGUAUUUCCAAAGUUCUUAAUGGUUUCAUUUUUGUCUGCGGUUUCAUUUGUGGUCUUCGACUUGAUUCUGGCAAUGUUUGCUAAUUGAAUGUCUUUGUAUGUAUUCUGUUCUAGGGUUGAGUGUUUUUCCUUUGGACAGCAAAACAACAGUAUUUCGUACUUCCAUUAUUGGCUGCUUUUCUACCUUUGGUUCAUUUCACCUUGCAUCUCUAUGGAAAAAGAUUUUUUUUCAUUAUUAUUCAAAUGUAUCUGAAAACAUGAAUGUUUCGAGACCUGAUCACACAUCUUCCAUAGGAAGAGUUGUAUCAGCUGAAUGCGUGCUGUGAGGAGGCACUUCUUUAAGCAGACCACUAAGAUGUGUUACUAAAAGUAACCAGAUGUACUCUUCCAGAGACCUUUUUAGGCGUGAGGUGGAUUGGCACAACUGGCAAAGCAUGGAGCCCAGCGAGGAGAAGGGCUGGGAGUGAGUGCAGAUCUCAUCAGCCUGCCUCCCAGUAGCAGCGCGGUGAUGUGGGCCCGUGGUCUGCAGCAGCCUGUAAUGGUAGAGCUUGGGUGGAUGGUCAGGAAAGCUGUCCAGACACACGAGUGUUACUAUCCAAGUAAAUACCCAUGUCUCUUGAUUUUUUUUUUUCCUUCUGGUUCUGACUUCCUUAUAGCGUUGCAUUGCAAACCAUUACCUUUAUUCUCUGUGUAAAUCAGCCGCAGCCUGUUGGUGCAGACAUUAAGGUAGAUGAUGGCAUUUGUUACUGAACAGAUGUGACUGAAACCGAGGAAAGCUCCGUCCGUGGUGGGGUGCCUACACCAGUGAAUUGUGGCUGCUGAACUCGGUGUGUCCUCGCUGUCACUCCUUUCAUCUGACUGGGGGACUGGAUUAGCACUGAGCACACCUAAAUUUGGGGAAUUAGGAAAGUUAUCUGUGCCUUCUUUGUCUCCUCUCCAUCCCGUGCUCCCUUCCGUUUGAAGGACUUGGAGAGCACACCUUUACAAAGCUAGAAUUCCAGUGUGAAAUUAAUAUUUACAUGGCUGAAAUUAAUCUAGUAUGUGUAGGUAAAUGGAACGGAUUUCAGGAAGUCAAGGCCAAAAAGUAAACAUUUGCAACAUAAUUGAAAGAAAAGACCAAGCACCUACUGGUGUGAUAUCAGCACAGCUGUUGGGUUUGUUUCAAGUGCAACGAGAAACUAAUUGCUAUUUCAUUAAAAUAACGUCUUCCGCUGUAAGUAGAAUUUCAAGUUAAGUAUUGGUUCUUUUUAUGGGGAAACGACUUCUGUGGAUUUGUGCAGCAGAGCAGGCAGGUGGUUCAGCCAACCCCAUUGAGCUGCUUUAAUCUCGUUAUCAAAGCCUGAUACAAUAAAAUGAAAAGAUGAGAGGUGGCGCCUCGGCAGCAGCGCGGUGCUGAUGGCCGCUUCUCCCUCCUCUGCCUGGGGAUGGCGCUUCUGUCCCCAGGGCUGCGCUGGGCCUGAGCAGGAGCUGCUCGUUGCGGUCGGCGUGCUGUGCUGCCCGAGGCCGGUUAGGGCUGCUGCAGGGAAGAUGGUUUUUGUGCGAAUGUCAUCGCCACGUUGAAGUCGUUCAGCUGCAGAACAAUGUUGUGUACUUCAGAGACAUUAAAGGACUGUUCUCAAAGAUCUGAUUAGGCCAAAACUGUGUCAUUGCAGAUUUGCAUCUUGGAUUUCUGAUGCUUAAAUAAAAUGGUUAACAAGUUGAUAAAUGGCUGAUGAGAAGUAGCGUAGAUGCAUUGUUUUCUUAGCUAGUAGUCAUAAUUUUGUAAAAAACAAACAAAAAAGAUAUAUAUAAAUUAAAAAAAAAAAGACAGCAACUUCUUUGUUUGGAAGCAAGCAAGGAAGGCUUGUUAAGGAUUGACUUGUAUAGGUUCUGUUAAGCACAUCACUAUUUUGGUUGUCUUGACUGUGUAAUGUAAUAUUGUUUUGCUUUAUUUUUUUUAUACUUGCAAAAAUGUCAUUGUACUGAUAGGCUGAAUCUUGUAAAAUACAAUUGGAAGAGAACCAAUGUUCUACAAA